This 210-nucleotide long non-coding RNA is filed under the name Populus trichocarpa (black cottonwood). RNAcentral describes it as "long non-coding RNA (PTRI_LNC000022)". The record is from RNAcentral. Lineage: Eukaryota; Viridiplantae; Streptophyta; Magnoliopsida; Malpighiales; Salicaceae.
GGGGAGUCAUACAGCUCAGAGAAAUAAUCCACAGCAGCCUGCUUAAUACCUUGCUGAGAAUCAAAAGUGUUGUCGUUAUGGUGGAUUUUAAAGAUAGAUGAUUUAGCCUUCCUGAAAUUUGCAAUCAAGUGAAAAAACUUGUUAUUUUUGUCACCCAAUUUGCACCACAUUUGUCUUGAUUUCUGCCUCCAAAUAGAUUCCAUAUGAUUG